UACGUAGGUGGCAAGCGUUGUCCGGAAUUAUUGGGCGUAAAGCGCGUGUAGGCGGCUUUGCAAGUCGGGUGUGAAAGCCCUCAGCUCAACUGAGGAAGUGCGCCCGAAACUGCAGAGCUUGAGUACCGGAGAGGAUGGCGGAAUUCCCCAAGUAGAGGUGAAAUUCGUAGAUAUGGGGAGGAACACCGGUGGCGAAGGCGGCCAUCUGGACGGAUACUGACGCUGAGACGCGAAAGCGUGGGUAGCAAACAGG
RNAcentral lists this ribosomal RNA (253 nucleotides) under uncultured bacterium. Its description in RNAcentral is "partial 16S ribosomal RNA". It matches the Rfam family "Bacterial small subunit ribosomal RNA", at positions 524 to 776 of the family's 1533-position model. The record is from RNAcentral.